GAUCGGACAAAGGGGAAAUGAACGAAAGCAGACGAACGGAGAGAGGGAAGCACGAAGGCUUGCAGGCUUGAUGUUUCAUCGAUCGGUCGCGAGAAGGAUCGUCUCCGAGGGUCGAUGAGGCCGAAGGGACGGAAGGGUGAAGCAGCGAGGCUGAUGUGGAGUUGGCGAAAGGAAGUGGAAAUGAGGUGGAAGAGAACAAUGCGAGGGGAGAUGCGAGGGACAAAGGAGGUCCGAUGGGAGUCCGGUCGACAACAAUACGUCGCAGGUGAGGGCUUCGGUGGGUUUUGCUCGACCGGAGGAGGUGUGGGAUGCGAUGGGGAAAACGAUCAACAACAGCACCGCAGAUGGUAGGAUUUGGCAGUGAAGGUUGACGGGAAAGGAGGGAUGGAGGGGAUAGCCGAUCUCCGGCGACUCCCUUCCGCUGUUUCCUCUUCUUUUUGCCGGCAGUGGAGUGGUGCAGCAACAGCAGUGGUCGAAGGGGUUUUGGCUUGGUAUUGUUCGAUAAUCACAGGAGAAAGAACGAAGACAUCAGUGGGUUUUUUUUUUUUUUUUUUUUGAUUUGUUGUGAUCGACGAGAAGGGAGGAAAAGAAACGAGGCGGUUCUUGUUUGCAGGGAGUCAGGAGAACAAAAACAAAAGUGUUCUUGACUGGUAAUGGAGAUGCAGGUUAUGUUUGAGUGUGGUCUUGGUUGAAGGAAGAGUGAGCAAGCUUGAGAAAGGCCUACAUAUUUCUUUUGUGUGUAAUUUUAGAUGUUUAAGAAUUAAUAGCUGUCAUUUACGUAUAAUAUGUGUAUUUUGUGUGAAAUUUGUAAAUAAUCAAUUUUCCCAA
Long non-coding RNA from Lactuca sativa (garden lettuce), 828 nucleotides. RefSeq lists it as uncharacterized. NCBI's taxonomy places the organism in Eukaryota, Viridiplantae, Streptophyta, Magnoliopsida, Asterales, Asteraceae. The record is from RefSeq and is a predicted model, not a curated record.